Molecule: long non-coding RNA, 3622 nt
Organism: Mesocricetus auratus (golden hamster)
Lineage: Eukaryota; Metazoa; Chordata; Mammalia; Rodentia; Cricetidae
Exons: 12
Source: RefSeq, a predicted model, not a curated record
CGGGGCUUGCCUGUGACCCCAGCCCUGGACUCCUGAUUUGGAAGUCUGAUGCUUGGCCCUAAAAUGAGUUUUUAGGCUCAAACAUACCGCCCUAACUUUGCUUUAUAUAGGUUUUUCCGUCCACCCUAUAAAAGUAGUGCUGUUUUUCAGAUGAAGAUAUUCUCAUGAUACAUUUUGUUUGUUUGCUUUCCAAACUACCUAACGGGCUCUGUGGACAGUGGAUAUCAAGAAGCCAGGAGUCUGAUCUUCAGGGCCUCCAGAGAUAUCUUCCUUCUGCUGACAUAGAACUUAGCCCGUGUUACUGCUUUUCUAAUUAAAGGAACUGCUGUAUCUGUGUUGGCCUGAGCAUGUGGGCAAUGCACUGGACCAGACUGAAAGUGACUGGGAGGCUUCUUUCUGCAUGAAGGCUCUCUCUGGGUUGUGAGAAUAUAUAAGCCACGUGUGAUCUCAGUGGAAACUAGAAAAUUAAGGCAUUUUUACCUGUGAGUUAUUAUGAAGAUGAUUUCUUCUUAAGGUGAGCUGUUUAAAGCGUUGCCCCAUGCUGCGGAAUAACCCUUUCUGUGCACUGUGAGUAUGUAUUAUUCUCAUUGUUAAUAAAGAGCUGACUGGCCAAUAGCUGGACAAGGAGAGGUUAGGUGGGAGAGCAUAACGGAGAGGAUUCUGGAAGAAGAAGGGUGGAGUCACCAGGAGCUGCCAGUCAAACACAGAGGAAGCAGAAAGUUGAACAUGCCUUUUGGAAAGAAGGUACCAUGAUGUGGUCAACCAUAAGUAGGAAGUGUGGAUUAAUUUAAAUUAAAAGAGCUAGUUAGUAACAAGCCCAAGCUAUCAGCUAAGAAUUUGUAAUUACUAAUAAGUCUCUGAUAAAGCCGAGACUGCAGAGGAUUCAAAAACAGAACAAGGAAAUGUCACACAGCUAGUUUAUCUUGAGAAGCUGUACAGACUCUGGCUUAGGUUAAUGAUUAAGAAAGAUGAUUGAGUUCCAGAAGCUAAGUUAGUUCAAGUUCUUUUAUUGUUGGGAGAUGUGUUUUCAGGUUUUGGUGUGCAUCAUAGCUAAAACAAAUCUUUAAAUAACAACUUAAGGUUAGGUUAAAAUUUUUCAAUGGCUUGGAAAAUAAUCUAAUGUUUAGAAAGGCGCAUAGUUGAGCAAAGGACUUCAUAAGGCCAAGGAACAAGAACAAAGUAGUCAGGUAUUAUUAGCUGAUGUGCCUUUCUUGUUAGGAUGGGUUGAUGGAUUGGAAAUCAAAGAUGAUGAUUCCUUGGGCUCAUUUCUUUCCUCAGGUUCCUGAGACUGAAAAACAACAAACAAACAAAACAAAACAAACAAACAAAAAACUAUUGAUGAGCGGUUUCUCUGACCUGCUGAAGGCUCGGCAUUCAUCAGCACCCUGUGUGGGCUCUCAACUCUCAGCUCCUCCAGCCAUGCCUGCUGCUUGCUUCCAGACUUCUCCAUAAGCCUAACCGUGCCUCACACAUCCAGCCGUACAGAGUUCCCAGAGUGCCUCAGCACUGAGUGACAGGUCUAGGAGAAGGACCUCUCUUCAAUGGUCUUCAAGAAAGCUCAUCCUGGGGAGACUUCACGGAGCCUUGGAAUGAAGCCAAUCCUCUUUAAAGCCUCACAGAGGAGAAGCGGCUGAGUGGAAGGAAGGAGUCUAUCACACCAUCUCUCUGUCCACAGGCUUUCCUUGGGGCUUAUGAAGCCUGCUAGAUUUCUUCGUGGCACUGACCCCCCCUUCACUCGUUGGAACCAGAAGGACGCAGAUAAAUGUCUGAAGAACAAAAUGAACUGGAAUUUUUUGAGAGGAAGAGAAACUCAGGACACUUACUUGUGUCCCCAGAGGCCUACAUGGACAUUUUCAGUCUCUCCUCCGGAGCCACUGUCUCCUUCAUUGGCGUACAAGGGGAUUGCAGAGGCAAAGCUAGGCUAGGUCUUGGAGGCUGGUGUGAAGCGCGCGGGUAAGGCUGGAAGACACCGGUGGAAGAAAAGCCGAAAUGGAUUCUCCGUGCCUUGGAUGGAGGAAGAGGGGAAGUGCGAGCUCCUUCAACUCGUUCGGUCCGGUGAGGAGUGAUCCAGCUUGGGCUGACAAGAGUCUCCGGGAGCCCUCUCGUUCAGUGCUUUUUUUACCUGCCAAUCAAACUGCUCCAAGACAACACCCUGAUCUGGCAUGGACCCCGCGGGUCCAAGCCUGUAGUCCCAAAUCGGAUAAUCUCUGCAGCUGGCUACACGCAAAAGAGAAGCCAGGCAACAGACAUAUUACAGAAGAAAGCUCCCGACUCCGAGAUCAAUCCUAGAAGUUCUCAAGACCCAUUUAAAAGAAUCCGGCUGAUUGCUUUGGUCUAAGAGUGCAGACAUCUCUUGCAAAACUAAGGAAGACCUCAUUUUGCAUUUGCUGGUCCUCCUGUUUUGUCAGCCCUGGGCCCGGUGAGAAGCUUACCAGGAGGUCCUGGCGCUGGAAGGACCAUGUGAGUUCAUCUCAGACGAUGGGGGGGCUCAACGGUUUUAGUGACUCACACAGUGGAGAACCACAUUCCCUUUGGAAGAACUUGUAUUUGGUGACACAACAAGGUCAGCUUGAGCGGCACCUGAAGGAUUUCCUCCUGUGGCUAUUCUGAGAAAAAGACAUGACAAGAAAUGAUUCCUGAAGGGUUUCCUUUUAAAAUGAAGACAAAUUAAUCAGUGAUACAUGCCUGUAGUCCCAGCCCUAGAGAGGCAGAGGCAGGAGAUGCUCGGUACUGAGGUCAUCCUGGGUCACACUGAAAACAAAUACCCAGCAGGGCAUGAUGGCACACACCUUUGACCCCCAGCACUCAGGAGUUCGAGACCAUCCUGGUCUACAGAUUGAGUAGGACAGUCAGGGUUAAAAAAAGAAAACAAGGCAACUUACUGAACACAUAGAUUUAUGUGUGCUCUAUUCCAGGAAGUCAGUGGUGAUUAUGAAACAGUAAAACUAGGUCAUGGCAGAAUGCACAAAUCAGGAUCAGCUUAGAACACUUCUCUGUCACUCUGUAUCAUUUUUGGUGUGACAGUUACUGCAUUUCUGUAGUUCACCUUUUGAGGAGGGCCUUAGAAUCAAUAUGAAAAAGAUACAUAUUCAUUUCUUUAUUUAUUUUGUGAGACAGGCUCUCAUAUCUUCCAUGCUGGCCUUGAACUCAUGAUGGAGCUGAGGAUGGCUUUGAUACGGGAGUAAAGGUGCUGUCACUUCCAGCAGAAAACAUGAUGUUUAGAACAAAGACAUUGUUUCCUUAUGUAGCCAAUGGUUCUUUAAAUGCCAAUCAACCCCCCUCCUCCAGGGCUUAAUGGUGUGUGUAGAAGAAGUGCCCCUAACCACUGGGACAAGGAAGUGCGCAUGCACCAAGCACUCAAGAGGUGGUGGUGGGAGGGAGGGUCCCCGUUCUUCAGAUGAGGUGGUAGAUGACAAAAUUAAGGGUGGAUUGGAGCAACGCAGCACUGAACGUCCGUGAUUUCAUUUCAUUUCACAAAAGUUAAAUCAUUCAGAUCUCUAGUUGGCUUAUCAUUGCUGGUGUUUGGUAGGGCUGAGACUCAAACCCAGGGCCUCACUGGGGCUAAACAAGGCCUCUACUACACAGUUUCAACCUUAGCCUUCCCAGUUAAAACAAAACAAAA